GUUACUAUGGGGUUCCUCCCAACCCAAUGUGAACGUUACCAAACUGUUGCCUCCGGCGGGAUCUCUGCCCCGGGUGCGUCGCAGCCCCGGACCAAGGCGCCCGCCGGAGGACCAACCAAAACUCUUAUUGUAUACCCCCUCGCGGGUUUUUUUUAUAAUCUGAGCCUUCUCGGCGCCUCUCGUAGGCGUUUCGAAAAUGAAUCAAAACUUUCAACAACGGAUCUCUUGGUUCUGGCAUCGAUGAAGAACGCAGCGAAAUGCGAUAAGUAAUGUGAAUUGCAGAAUUCAGUGAAUCAUCGAAUCUUUGAACGCACAUUGCGCCCGCCAGUAUUCUGGCGGGCAUGCCUGUCCGAGCGUCAUUUCAACCCUCGAACCCCUCCGGGGGGUCGGCGUUGGGGAUCGGCCCUGCCUUGGCGGUGGCCGUCUCCGAAAUACAGUGGCGGUCUCGCCGCAGCCUCUCCUGCGCAGUAGUUUGCACACUCGCAUCGGGAGCGCGGCGCGUCCACAGCCGUUAAACACCCAACUUCUGAAAUGUUGACCUCGGAUCAGGUAGGAAUACCCGCUGAACUUAAGCAUAUCUAAAAGGGGAGAGAGAAA
Molecule: ribosomal RNA, 597 nt
Filed under: Trichoderma harzianum
Lineage: Eukaryota; Fungi; Ascomycota; Sordariomycetes; Hypocreales; Hypocreaceae
Description: eukaryotic LSU rRNA
Rfam family: 5.8S ribosomal RNA (bases 206-359)
Source: RNAcentral